CGAGUUGUAAUUUGCAGAGGAUGCUUUGGAUUUUGUGCUGUCAAAAGUCCAUUGGAACAUGGCGUCACGGAGGGUGAAAAUCCCGUGUUGAUAGAAAUUCAAUUUCCAUGUAAAGCUCCUUCGAAGAGUCGAGUUGUUUGGGAAUGCAGCUCUAAGGGGGAGGUAAAUUUCUUCCAAAGCUAAAUACCGGCUAGAGACCGAUAGCGCACAAGUAGAGUGAUCGAAAGAUGAAAAGCACUUUGAAAAGAGAGUUAAACAGCACGUGAAAUUGUUGAAAGGGAAGCGCAUGCASCCAGACAUGACGUCACGGUUCAGCCUUUUGGUGUAUUCCGUAGCGUCAGGCCAACAUCAGUUUGAGCAGUUGGAUAAAGGUUUCGGAAAUGUAGCUCUCUCCGGAGAGUGUUAUAGUCUGAUUCACAAUACGGCUUGCUCAGACUGAGGUCUGCUUU
Molecule: ribosomal RNA, 449 nt
Filed under: Arthopyrenia fallaciosa
Lineage: Eukaryota; Fungi; Ascomycota; Dothideomycetes; Pleosporales; Arthopyreniaceae
Description: partial 28S large subunit ribosomal RNA
Rfam family: Eukaryotic large subunit ribosomal RNA
Source: RNAcentral